UCGUACUACAGAGGUGCGAGGGCUGUCGCUGACCUUUUUUCAAAGGUUGUGCACGCCCGAGCACUCUCGUCUACAAUCCACCUCACCACUUGUGCAUCACCGCGCGGGGCCUCCCUCUUGGCUCGCUUCGAGAGAGGCUCGCGUUCUUCACAUCACACACAUACCUUUUUAGUUUUGAAUGUCAUUCAUUUGCGAUAACACGCAACCAAUA
RNAcentral lists this unclassified non-coding RNA (211 nucleotides) under uncultured Russula. RNAcentral's name for it is "sequence contains ITS1". The record is from RNAcentral. Lineage: Eukaryota; Fungi; Basidiomycota; Agaricomycetes; Russulales; Russulaceae.